GACGAACGCUGGCGGCGUGCUUAACACAUGCAAGUCGAACGGAAAGGCCCUGCUGUUGUGGGGUGCUCGAGUGGCGAACGGGUGAGUAACACGUGAGUAACCUGCCCUUGACUUUGGGAUAACUUCAGGAAACUGGGGCUAAUACCGGAUAGGAGCUCCUGCUGCAUGGUGGGGGUUGGAAAGUUUCGGCGGUUGGGGAUGGACUCGCGGCUUAUCAGCUUGUUGGUGGGGUAGUGGCUUACCAAGGCGUUGACGGGUAGCCGGCCUGAGAGGGUGACCGGCCACAUUGGGACUGAGAUACGGCCCAGACUCCUACGGGAGGCAGCAGUGGGGAAUAUUGCACAAUGGGCGGAAGCCUGAUGCAGCAACGCCGCGUGCGGGAUGACGGCCUUCGGGUUGUAAACCGCUUUCGCCUGUGACGAAGCGUGAGUGACGGUAAUGGGUAAAGAAGCACCGGCUAACUACGUG
This 468-nucleotide ribosomal RNA is filed under the name uncultured bacterium. RNAcentral's name for it is "partial 16S ribosomal RNA". It matches the Rfam family "Bacterial small subunit ribosomal RNA", at positions 28 to 507 of the family's 1533-position model. The record is from RNAcentral.